Molecule: non-coding RNA, 68 nt
Organism: Fukomys damarensis (Damara mole-rat)
Lineage: Eukaryota; Metazoa; Chordata; Mammalia; Rodentia; Bathyergidae
Source: Ensembl
GUUGAUGUAGCUUAACUUUAAAGCAAGGCACUGAAAAUGCCUAGAUGAAUUAACCAAUUCCAUAAACA